GGUGAAGAACGUAGCGAAAUGCGAUAAGUAGUGUGAAUUGCAGAAUUCAGUGAAUCAUCGAAUCUUUGAACGCACAUUGCGCCCGCCAGUAUUCUGGCGGGCAUGCCUGUUCGAGCGUCAUUUCAACCAUCAAGCCCCCGGCUUGUGUUGGGGACCUGCGGCUGCCGCAGGCCCUGAAAACCAGUGGCGGGCUCGCUAGUCACUCCGAGCGUAGUAAUACAUCUCGCUCAGGGCGUGCUGCGGGUUCCGGCCGUUAAAAAGCCUUAUUUACCCAAGGUUGACCUCGGAUCAGGUAGGAAGACCCGCUGAACUUAAGCAUAUCAAUAAGCGGAGGA
RNAcentral lists this unclassified non-coding RNA (335 nucleotides) under soil metagenome. RNAcentral describes it as "partial contains 5.8S ribosomal RNA, internal transcribed spacer 2, and large subunit ribosomal RNA". The stretch from base 3 to 120 matches the Rfam family "5.8S ribosomal RNA", at positions 37 to 154 of the family's 154-position model. The record is from RNAcentral.